Molecule: ribosomal RNA, 984 nt
Filed under: human gut metagenome
Description: bacterial LSU rRNA
Rfam family: Bacterial large subunit ribosomal RNA
Source: RNAcentral
AUAACGGUCCUAAGGUAGCGAAAUUCCUUGUCAGGUAAGUUCUGACCCGCACGAAAGGUGUAACGAUUUGAGCACUGUCUCGACAACACGCCCGGUGAAAUUGAAGAACCAGUGAAGAUACUGGUUACCCGCAACAGGACGGAAAGACCCCAUGGAGCUUUACUGCAGCUUAAUAUUGGGAUUCGGUAUUGUAUGUACAGGAUAGGAGGGAGACUAAGAAGCUAGCACGCCAGUGUUGGUGGAGUCGAUGGUGGGAUACCUCUCUUAUAAUACUGAAUUUCUAACCUACUUCCGUGAUCCGGAAGAGGGACAUUGUUAGGCGGGCAGUUUGACUGGGGCGGUCGCCUCCGAAAGAGUAACGGAGGCGCUCAAAGGUCUUCUCAGAAUGAUUGGAAACCAUUCAAAGAGUGUAAAGGCAAAAGAAGGCUUGACUGCGAGAGUGACAACUCGAGCAGGUACGAAAGUAGGACUUAGUGAUCCGGUGGUAACAAGUGGGAGUGCCAUCGCUUAACGGAUAAAAGCUACCCUGGGGAUAACAGGCUUAUCUCCCCCAAGAGUUCACAUCGACGGGGAGGUUUGGCACCUCGAUGUCGGCUCAUCGCAUCCUGGAGCUGUAGUCGGUUCCAAGGGUUGGGCUGUUCGCCCAUUAAAGCGGUACGCGAGCUGGGUUCAGAACGUCGCGAGACAGUUCGGUCCCUAUCUAUCACGGGCGUAGGAAAUUUGAGGAGAGCUGACCUUAGUACGAGAGGACCGGGUUGGACGUACCGCUGGUGCACCUGUUGUUCUGCCAAGGGCAUAGCAGGGUAGCUAAGUACGGACGGGAUAAACGCUGAAGGCAUCUAAGCGUGAAGCCCCCUUCGAGAUAAGAUUUCCCAUAGCGUAGGCUAGUAAGGACCCAUGAAGACUACAUGGUUGAUAGGCCGGAGGUGGAAGUGCAGUAAUGUAUGCAGCUGACCGGUACUAAUAGUCCGAGGGCUUGACCAA